RNAcentral lists this ribosomal RNA (254 nucleotides) under uncultured microorganism. RNAcentral's name for it is "partial 16S ribosomal RNA". It matches the Rfam family "Archaeal small subunit ribosomal RNA", at positions 474 to 727 of the family's 1478-position model. The record is from RNAcentral.
CACCGGCGGCUCGAGUGGUGGCCACUUUUAUUGGGUCUAAAGCGUCCGUAGCCGGCUUGGUAAGUCCCCUGGGAAAUCUGGCGGCUUAACCGUCAGGCGUCCAGAGGAUACUGCCAGGCUUGGGACCGGGAGAGGUGAGAGGUACCUCAGGGGUAGGGGUGAAAUCUUGUGAUCCCUGAGGGACCACCAGUGGCGAAGGCGUCUCACUAGAACGGGUCCGACGGUCAGGGACGAAAGCUGGGGGCACGAACCGG